Molecule: ribosomal RNA, 460 nt
Filed under: uncultured bacterium
Lineage: Bacteria
Description: partial 16S ribosomal RNA
Rfam family: Bacterial small subunit ribosomal RNA
Source: RNAcentral
CCUACGGGUGGCAGCAGUGAGGAAUAUUGGUCAAUGGGCUUACGCCUGAACCAGCCAAGUCGCGUGAGGGAAGACUGCUCUAUGGGUUGUAACCCUCUUUUGUCAGGGAGCAAUUGGCGCUACGUGUAGCGUUAUCGAGAGUACCUGCAGAAAAAGAAUCGGCUAACUCCGUGCCAGCAGCCGCGGUAUUACGGAGGAUGCAAGCGUUAUCCGGAUUGAUUGGGGUUAAAGGGUGCGUAGGCGGAAUGCCAAGUCAGAGGUAAAAUCCAGGGGCUCAACCUCGCUCCGCCGUUGAAACUGGCGUUCUUGAGUGGGCGAGAAGUAUGCGGAAUGCGUGGUGUAGCGGUGAAAUGCAUAGAUAUCACGCAGAACACCGAUUGCGAAGGCAGCAUACCGGCGCCCAACUGACGCUGAGGCACGAAAGCGUGGGUAUCGAACAGGAUUAGAUACCCCAGUAGUC